This 408-nucleotide ribosomal RNA is filed under the name uncultured bacterium. Its description in RNAcentral is "partial 16S ribosomal RNA". It matches the Rfam family "Bacterial small subunit ribosomal RNA", at positions 28 to 526 of the family's 1533-position model. The record is from RNAcentral.
GACGAACGCUGGCGGCGUGCCUAAUACAUGCAAGUCGAGCGAAGCGGCGGAUGGGUGAGUAACGCGUGGGUAACCUGCCCUUAAGUCUGGGAUACCAUUUGGAAACAGAUGCUAAUACCGGAUACUAAAGGAUGGACCUGCGAUGCAUUAGCUAGUGGGUAAGGUAACGGCUUACCAAGGCUAUGAUGCAUAGCCGACCUGAGAGGUUGAUCGGCCAAACUGGGACGGAGACACGGCCCAGAUUCCUACGGGAGGCAGCAGUAGGGAAUCUUCGGCAAUGGACGAAAGUCUGACCGAGCAACGCCGCUUGAGUGAAGAAGGUUUUCGGAUCGUAAAACUCUGUUGUUAGAGAAGCGGUAUCUAACCAGAAAGCCACGGCUAACUACGUGCCAGCCGCCGCGGUAAUUC